Molecule: non-coding RNA, 2976 nt
Organism: Macaca mulatta (Rhesus monkey)
Lineage: Eukaryota; Metazoa; Chordata; Mammalia; Primates; Cercopithecidae
Source: RefSeq, a predicted model, not a curated record
GCUAGGCCUAGGGGGCCCGAAUGACUGGGGCUGGAUAGGAAUGCCUUCAUGUUUCCCAAGACCCCCGGGCUUGCUCCACAAAGUUUGGAGGGUGGGUACACCCCGAUCCAGGCAAGUUGCUCCCCCAAACCCAUGACUGACUAAUCUGAUAUGACAAAAGCCCAUGAUGGAUUUGGUAUAUGUUAAUUCACAAUGCCCUUUCCUCCAGAAUUUAACUAUAAGUUAAUACACACCGGAAACCACGCGCAAACACGCUCCUUAAUGGGCUUAGGUAUUAGCGAGUCCUAACGAUGCAUACAAAUGUGCUCUGCGCUCUGUAGGCCCCUCAAGAUUUAUGGGCCUUGAGCUCUCUGAAGCUGUAAACAAGGAGGAAAAAAAAAAAAAAAAAAAGAGAAAGCGAAAGCGACUGGGGGGAAGAGACAGAGGCCUGACUCGCCCCUCCAGGUUGUGGGAGAGAAGGGAUUCUUUACGUAUUUUCCUUUCCUUGCAAGCUCGGUGCGUGUGGGUUUUGGCGUUGGUCUGGGGGUGGUGUUCUGCCUGAAUACUGGCGUGCGUGGGCAGUGUGUUGUUUGCGUGCUGGGGUAGGAUGCCUGCCUCUUUGGAUUGCUGUGCAGGGGCCUGAACACAGCAGGCAUUUGUGAGCAUAUAUGUGUGAGUGUGUGUACUGCGUUUGUGUGUGUGUGUGUGUGUGUGAGAGAGAGAGAGAGAGAGACAGAGAGAGAGAGAGAGAGGCAGGCUUCCCCCUGGGCCAGGCUGCUGUCCCCUGAACGUGGUGAACAAAUCUCUAACAACAAUCAUAAUAACAAUAAAUAAUGAAUAAUAAUAAUAAAACAGUAGUUAACAGUCCCUCCAUAACAGGAUAACAAUAAAAUGCAAGAGGAAAUAUUUUGAGGUGGAGACAGGAAGGAGUCAGGAUCACAGCAUCUGAGGUGGAGAUAGGAAAAGAAGGGAGGAAGAAAGCUUCUCAAUAUGCCCUUGGGGGGCUGGGGUUGGGAACCCCUUUCCCAGACAAGGGACAGAAGAGGGGAAGGAGAGCCAGGAGACCACUCUUUAUUGCUUUUUUUCUCAGGCUUCUGCUUUGUGCGAUCAGGGAAGGGAUCCCACAUAUGGGGAUGGUUAAUGGCUUUUGGGACUCUCUAGGAGCCCCUGUUUUAAGGAGGAGGCCAAAUGUGCAGGGUCAGGCCAAGGGGCAGAGAUGAAUGAGGCGAUGACCACAGCCUUGAUCCGGCAGGAGCGCAGAGAUGCCCGGGAGAACGGGCCCCGGACGGAAGCAGAAAAACACUUAUGGCCGCCGGGGAGUGGGGAGAGCCAGGCUAGGGCUCCGGCAGGCCCAGGUCCCUUUCUAGGCUCUUUAUUUAAAAAUGUAAAAGGAGGAGUUGAGGCGCCAUGAAUUUUCCUUCGCGAGCUUGGAGACUAGCCGAUUUUUCAUGAAGGAAGCAAAGACUUCGGUCCCGGAUCCUGCAACAUCCACCUCAUUCUCUCCAGGCCUCUCCACUUGCCCGAGCUCUCAGCCACCAGGAGACUGACGGAAGGGGCUUCUGGGCUGCGUUGGGAGCGGGCACUGUCCCCCACCCACUCCUGUUCUGUUUCCCAAAGUCCAGCGACCUCCGACUCUCCUUGGGGGGAAAAAUACCAGUACCCAGAUACCUCUGCACCCUGUUAUAUGACUCGGCUUGCUUCAGGAAUAUCUUACAAAGAAGAAGAAGAAGAAAGAACGGCUUGGAGUCAUGUUUACAUCUAGUUCUACUGAUCCGUUCACAUCUGGAGAGUUUAUUUAUAACUCCCUCUAUAACUCUCUGUUUGGAGGCACUGGUGGCUCUAUUGACAGACUGAUGUCUAGGAAAUAUUGCUCUAUGUCUAACCGUACCUAAAUGUGCUGUGGUUGUAUUUACAGAUUUAUGUUUGAGGGAAAUAUAAUUAUUUCCAUUGUAUUUGUGCAUAUACAGUAGUUAUAAGAGCAGAUUUAUAUAUGGGAAAAUAUACGACUCUCUUACAGCCAUCCGGCUUUAUGUACAUUUGAUAUCCUGACAGAUUUAUAUCUCUGAACAGCUAUAUAGAUAAAAAUGUAUAUUGUUAGAAUUAUGUAUCAGGAGAUAUAUACUUAUUGAUUGUGAAAUAGAGUAGUUAGAGCAUUCACUUAGAGCCAUAUAUGGCUAUGGAGACGUUUCUAUAUUAUUAUCGCUAUAUAUAGGCAUAUCUGUUUAUAACUACAUAGUUAUAAAAAUAGACAUAAAUAAUUAUAGUCCUAUAUGUGCAUGCUGCAAUCUCUCUCUAGAGUUAUAGACACUUUCAAAUAUAACUCUAUAGAGAGAUCUGUAUGUAUAUAAGGUGUAAUUAUCUUGUGAUGUGUGUGCGUUAGGACUUAGGCCCGUCUAUCUCAGAACAGACAUAUUUAUAUGUAGGAGCUGGGAAAGACUUGUUCACAGAUAUCUGCAGAGGGCCAACUGGAAACACUGUAUCUGCCCUCUAGGAAACCAGCUAGCAGAGUUGUGUACUUAUGGAGGGAUGGAGUUACAAAAGGGUAAAUAGAGCUCAGGGAGCCUCAAGGAGGGAGGUGAAUGGAGGGUGGGUGGGCUCCGUUUGAACAGAUAGCGGGAGGAAAGGGGUAAACACCAGUACCCACCAGAAGGUGAGAACCGGUUUUGUGAGGGGCUGGCGCAGAAGGUGGACAAGGAGCUUGUAAAACGGGAAGCAGUGAACAGUCCUGCCAUCUCACCCUGAGACACUCCACCGAGGAAGCAGCCUUCAGUUUGGCUUUUAGUGCACUGAAAGAUAGGGACUGUCGUGUCCCUCCUGCAGUCCUAGCGCGUUUCUGUUGAACCCUAAUUUUUAGAUCUCAAAGAGUGGGCUUCAGAGAUAAAGAGAUUUAGGCAGGGACAGGGCGGGGAGCGUGGGGUGUACUUUCACUUUCUGAUAAGUGAGGUAAUCCAGGAAAGUGAGUUAAUUUGGCCAAAAUAAAGCUUGUUUUUAUCUGGG